AAGCUUUCCCUGCAAUAUUAUCUCAGCAGCUCCCUAGCUGCUUACCCUGAAAACGAGGGAUCCAAACGGAGGGUGUUGCACUCUGCUAACGCUGGUCCUGUGCGUGGCUGUGGCAUAUGAGCGGCAGGUCUGAAAAAGCAGGUGUGUGCUGGGACGGGCACUGGACUGGAACGCAGGCGGACGCUCUCGGGUUUACCUGCUUCCUGUUAACAGAUUGUGGGCUCCCAGGGCAUAUGUCUGCACGCUGAGGCCGAGGCGGAGAAGGGGCUUCCUGAGCGUCCCAGUACACUGACAGAGACACUUGGAUUGGACUUAAUCUUAAACCUCUGGAGUUCAAGACCUUUUAAAAAGGGCUAAAUAAACAAUCUCUACAUGUAAAAGGCCACUGACUCCUACUUCCUCUGUAUAGAGCAACUGUUGAACUCAGCUGCCUGUAGGGCGUGAUUCUCAGUCACCAGACUCAGCAAAAGGUUUUAGAAGCGUUCGACCAAACCUACAAGAUAAAAGAUCACCAACUCAGGCACCCCCUCCACCAGAAAGAAAAGAGAGCUUUCAUAGCUCUUUGAUAACCAGUCACACAAAGGGUGUCAUUUU
Molecule: long non-coding RNA, 594 nt
Filed under: Homo sapiens (human)
Lineage: Eukaryota; Metazoa; Chordata; Mammalia; Primates; Hominidae
Description: non-protein coding lnc-PDLIM3-6:6
Source: RNAcentral